RNAcentral lists this ribosomal RNA (276 nucleotides) under uncultured prokaryote. RNAcentral's name for it is "partial 16S ribosomal RNA". It matches the Rfam family "Bacterial small subunit ribosomal RNA", at positions 524 to 798 of the family's 1533-position model. The record is from RNAcentral.
UACGGAGGAUCCGAGCGUUAUCCGGAUUUAUUGGGUUUAAAGGGUGCGCAGGCGGGGGAUUAAGUCGGCGGUGAAAUUUUGCAGCUCAACUGUAAAAGUGCCUUCGAAACUGGUUUCCUUGAGUGUAGAUGAAGUAGGCGGAAUUUGUGGUGUAGCGGUGAAAUACAUAGAUAUCACGAGGAACUCCGAUUGCGCAGGCAGCUUACUAAACUACUACUGACGCUCAGGCACGAAGGCGUGGGGAGUCAAACAGGAUUAGAUACCCGCGUAGUCCCU